ACGUACACUCCUACGGGAGGCAGCAGUGGGGAAUAUUGCACAAUGGGCGCAAGCCUGAUGCAGCCAUGCCGCGUGUAUGAAGAAGGCCUUCGGGUUGUAAAGUACUUUCAGCGGGGAGGAAGGCAAUACGGUUAAUAACCGUGUUGAUUGACGUUACCCGCAGAAGAAGCACCGGCUAACUCCGUGCCAGCAGCCGCGGUAAUACGGAGGGUGCAAGCGUUAAUCGGAAUUACUGGGCGUAAAGCGCACGCAGGCGGUCUGUCAAGUCGGAUGUGAAAUCCCCGGGCUCAACCUGGGAACUGCAUUCGAAACUGGCAGGCUUGAGUCUUGUAGAGGGGGGUAGAAUUCCAGGUGUAGCGGUGAAAUGCGUAGAGAUCUGGAGGAAUACCGGUGGCGAAGGCGGCCCCCUGGACAAAGACUGACGCUCAGGUGCGAAAGCGUGGGGAGCAAACAGGAUUAGAUACCCCGGUAGUCCC
This 476-nucleotide ribosomal RNA is filed under the name uncultured organism. RNAcentral describes it as "partial 16S ribosomal RNA". It matches the Rfam family "Bacterial small subunit ribosomal RNA", at positions 329 to 797 of the family's 1533-position model. The record is from RNAcentral.